GAUCGGGUAGUUUAAUAGAAUAUUUUAUUGUAAAUAAAGAGGAGAGCUGAUUA
Molecule: transfer RNA, 53 nt
Filed under: Southwellina hispida
Lineage: Eukaryota; Metazoa; Acanthocephala; Palaeacanthocephala; Polymorphida; Polymorphidae
Description: tRNA-Tyr
Source: RNAcentral